Molecule: ribosomal RNA, 332 nt
Filed under: uncultured fungus
Lineage: Eukaryota; Fungi
Description: SSU rRNA
Rfam family: Eukaryotic small subunit ribosomal RNA
Source: RNAcentral
CGACCUGCUAAAUAGUCAGGCUAUACAUUUCGGUGUAUGCGAUUUAUUUCUUUCUGCACUUCUUAGAGGGACUAUCUGGCUGCAACAGAUGGAAGUUCGAGGCAAUAACAGGUCUGUGAUGCCCUUAGAUGUUCUGGGCCGCACGCGCGCUACACUGAUUCGUUCAUCAAGUUAUUCACCUUGACUGACAGGUCUGGGUAAUCUUUUCAAAGCGAAUCGUGAUGGGGAUAGAAUAUUGCAAUUAUUAUUCUUCAACGAGGAAUUCCUAGUAAACGCAAGUCAUCAACUUGCAUUGAUUACGUCCCUGCCCUUUGUACACACCGCCCGUCGCU